RNAcentral lists this ribosomal RNA (253 nucleotides) under uncultured bacterium. Its description in RNAcentral is "partial 16S ribosomal RNA". It matches the Rfam family "Bacterial small subunit ribosomal RNA", at positions 524 to 776 of the family's 1533-position model. The record is from RNAcentral.
UACGUAGGUGACCAGCGUUGUCCGGAUUUACUGGGCGUAAAGAGCGCGCAGGCGGUCGUUCAAGUCGAGUGUGAAAGCCCCCGGCUCAACUGGGGAGGGUCAUUCGAUACUGAUCGACUUGAAGGCAGGAGAGGGAAGCGGAAUUCCCGGUGUAGAGGUGAAAUUCGUAGAUAUCGAGAGGAACACCGGUGGCGAAGGCGGCCAACUGGACAGAUACUGACGCUGAGGCGCGAAAGCGUGGGGAGCAAACAGG